Phalacrocorax carbo (great cormorant) is the source of this 617-nucleotide non-coding RNA. NCBI's taxonomy places the organism in Eukaryota, Metazoa, Chordata, Aves, Suliformes, Phalacrocoracidae. The record is from RefSeq and is a predicted model, not a curated record.
AGAGGAAGACCAGAUAGGCCUUGUGACUUUAGUACUGACUGAUGUUUUCUGGCAUCUUUUCUGAGUUAUCUCACAGAAAGGGCAGGAGUUUUAGUUACAGAAACAAAGCCGGAGGUCUGGAGUGUCGCUGGGAUGAGACCAGGAGAGACAAAAAUGCAGUACGAGCUGCAGGCCGGUCGUGAACUUCCUGUGCUCUUUCACUCAGCCUUUUGCCUUUGCUGUUCACGGCUCUCCUGUGGUUUUGUCCAAGGUCUAAGCUCUGCUGACACAGCAGCAUUCAUACCACACUCCUGCUCGAUUCAGUAAUGACAAAAUGGCUGGUAUCAGGAAUGUAUGACUGACUUCUACAGAUGCUUGUGCACCACGAAGAAAUGCCACCGGACCAGCCCAUUCAUGAAAGAUUGCCUUUUUUUCGUCCUCUCUCUUCUUAAGUGAUCAGGUGCAGGUGUAGAAGAGGAACUGAAGAGGGAAAGGAGUGUCUGAUGAAAAGACAAGUCUUUAAGAACCGGGAGAAUCUCAACACUGGAAUUUAGUUUUCUGUUUCUUAAACAACCUUUUAGUAAGCUUCAUGUUAACAUGUACUAAUUUAUAAAUAUUAAAGACCCGUUGUUACUGAA